UGCUUUAUCAAUUCCCAAAAUCUUUAUAACUAGUCACUGCUCUCUCUCUCUCUGUAUCCCUGAUCUUUCUUCUUCUUUCUUGUUUUUGCUUUUGUUGUUUUGGAUUUGUGUUGCAGAGAUGAAUGAUCCCAAUCCCAAGUAUACUUCUCCCAAUCCUGCUCAAGGCAGAUAAUGAGUUGCGUCUUGUACCUGGUGAUGAGUUGCGGCUAUGCUAUUUAGGAGAUGCAGCUCAUGCGGCAGUCAGUAGGGCAUGUGCCUCAGGUGCGAAGAACAAGGGGAUGGAUAAUUACAAACAGGGGAAGUAUGCUGAUGCCAUAAAGUGGCUUUCUUGGGCUGUGAUUCUUCUUGAGAAGUCUUGUGAUGGUGCUAACCCUUGUAAGUUUAUUUGUGAUUGGAAGUCAACUUGUCUGUAACCCUUUUGAGUGAAGUGUGGUUUUGAAUGGUACGAAAGACAGACUUAUGUCUCUGCUCUGCUCGUUAAUGUUCUUCUUACCUUUGAGUGGAGAAGAACUAGAAUGAUAUUUUUUUUCUUUGAUGAUAUUAUUAUAAUGGACGCUUGAUGUUUUCAAUUAAAUAAACUUAUUUAUGUGCACAUGUUUGUAAGUCUGACUAUGUUAUCCUUUGUUAUAUUUACCGCUUUGUCUUUCGAGCAAUUAAUCCAAUGGCUAUAAUGCAAAAUCAUGAUUUAUAGACCAUUCAUGAAACAUUCAGUAAAACCUCUUCAACACGGCUUAUAAUGUUAUUAGAGGAUUCACAUAACCUACAUCCAGUAGAUGUGAUUUGAAGUCAUAUUGAGUGGAUUUUCAUAUGGGCUGUGCUUGUAUGUUUGUUAGGUAGACUGCUAAUGUAAAUGCUGUCCCUAUAACUCAUGAACAUGCAUUCUGAAAUUUAUGGCAAAGAAGGGUUCAUUGAUUUGUGUAGAAAAGCUAUGUAAUUGGGGUUUAAGGCUUGUGUUGGAUGCCCACUACAUGCAUUAGUUUCUGAAAUAAUUAAUGGGUCAGGACAUUUUUAAAUCCUGCCCCUACUGUGUGCCUCUAGUCUUCGAAUAAAUUACUGAGUGAUGAUUUAAAAAUGGUCUCUGAUAUUCAGUUUAAUUAAGCAAUCUUAAUAAAAUUUGAAGCUUAAACAGAUUGACCAAAAACGUACAUUGGAUUUGCCCCCCUUUUCAUUUUUGGUUCAUGAAUAAUACUCAUGAUGUUGGCUAUGCUUUCAUGUGUUAUAUCUAUUCAUGUAUCUCCUUUUGAUGGCUAUAUUUAAAAUUUGUUAAUUGCUCUUUGGUAGCCUUCAAUUGUACAAUCAUAAUUUACCCAAAUUCAUACAAUUUUUUAUGCUAAAAUUGUUUGUAUGAAGUGUACUAUUCUUUGGUCUAAUUUUUCUCCACCAUUGUGUUGUAAGAUCAAAUCAACUUGGCUGAUGUCAAGUACCCAUUGGAGCAUUUUAAGGUAGGUUAAAACCUGUUCAUUUAUUUGAUACACAUAGAAUUUUAAACAGAAUGACAUUUGGUUUCUUUUUGGGUAUCAGGGAGCCCUUUGUUUAAAGGAGUUCCUCUUUUUUUAAUUGCAGCAGAUUGGGGGGUAGAUUGUGAUAUGUAGUGCUUUGUUUUGGUUUUGAAUUUUUUUCGUUUUGUUUUUUCACUUGUACCCUUUUUCUGAGGAUGCCUCAUCGUCCUAUCUUUGGCUCUGUGCCUUAAUAAAAUUCUAAAAAAAAAUUAAAAAAAAUAAAAGAAUUUUCAUUCGUGGGCCUUUGUUAAGAGUGAACUUUAUUACUUUGACACAUUGCCAUCACUUGAAUUUGUAAAGAGAUGUUUGUCAAUAUGUUGAGUGAAUUAUAGUUUUUAUGUCAUAAUAUUUGGUUACAUCUCAUUAUUCAACUAGGUAAAGCUUUGGACUGCUGGAAACAUAUUUUUCAGAGAGAUCUGUGUUCUCAAGCCCUUUGCAUAUACAUAAGUCAACUUCACUUAUUGGUUACAGUUAGAAUGUAAAAUGAAGGAAUUUAGGGUUGGGAUUUAGGAGGAAGAAGAAGAAGAUUAAGAAGAAAGAGAAAUUUUAUAUAUAUAUUGGCGCUGUUUGGGAAGUUGGAGGAUCCAACUGAGAACAGGAGGGGAGAGAAUCGGCAACUCGGAUUCACGAUGGGAGAGAACCAGCAGAAUCACAGGGUUCCAGAGUCAGCUACGAAUGCCAAUGCCAAUGGGCAUGCCAUCACGAAGACAAAUAUGAUGGAUUUGAAUAUGCAGCCACAUUAGAUACAUGAACAGGCUUCAAAUAAUCAGAACAUCCUUGUUGUCUCAAAGUAUUACUGAAGGAUUACCUUGGCGAGACUUGUUGAGCUGCUUUGUCUCAUUGUUUAGGUGACUUCAAAAAACAAUCAAGCACAAGGCUGAUGCUUCAAAACCAUAUAUAUUCCUUCAUGUUUUAGAAUUUUUUUUGGAUUCCUUCAUUGAUUUUGCUUUUAAUUUUUGUUCAAUUACUUAAUGGUUUUCAAUGGAUGGAUGUUUAAAAUUUGUCUCAAUUAAUGUUUUAAAUGGAAUGAUUGUAAA
Non-coding RNA from Camellia sinensis, 2536 nucleotides. Lineage: Eukaryota; Viridiplantae; Streptophyta; Magnoliopsida; Ericales; Theaceae. The record is from RefSeq and is a predicted model, not a curated record.